GGAAUCUUCCACAAUGGACGCAAGUCUGAUGGAGCAACGCCGCGUGAGUGAAGAAGGUCUUCGGAUCGUAAAACUCUGUUGUUAGAGAAGAACAUGCAGGAGAGUAACUGUUCUUGUAUUGACGGUAUCUAACCAGAAAGCCACGGCUAACUACGUGCCAG
RNAcentral lists this ribosomal RNA (161 nucleotides) under uncultured bacterium. Its description in RNAcentral is "partial 16S rRNA". It matches the Rfam family "Bacterial small subunit ribosomal RNA", at positions 358 to 511 of the family's 1533-position model. The record is from RNAcentral.